RNAcentral lists this microRNA precursor (82 nucleotides) under Bombyx mori (domestic silkworm). Its description in RNAcentral is "mir-2807 microRNA precursor family". It matches the Rfam family "mir-2807 microRNA precursor family". Lineage: Eukaryota; Metazoa; Arthropoda; Insecta; Lepidoptera; Bombycidae. The record is from Rfam by way of RNAcentral.
UGAAAAAAUUUGUAUGCAGUUGGAACACGUGCCUGCGUUUGCCGUUAGGGGCGCUGUUCUAAUUGCAUACAAAUUUGAGUUA